AUCCUGGCUCAGGACGAACGCUGGCGGCGUGCCUAACCCAUGCAAGUCGAACGGGGCGGCGGACUUCGGUCCAAAGCCUAGUGGCGGACGGGUGAGUAAUGCGUGAACAACCAACCUUGUACAGGGGGACAACAGCUGGAAACGGCUGCUAAUACCGCAUAAGACCACAGGACCGCAUGGUCCAGGGGUCAAAGGAGCAAUCCGGUAUAAGACGGGUUCGCGUUCCAUUAGCUAGUUGGUGGGGUAACGGCCUACCAAGG
Molecule: ribosomal RNA, 260 nt
Filed under: uncultured bacterium
Lineage: Bacteria
Description: partial 16S ribosomal RNA
Rfam family: Bacterial small subunit ribosomal RNA
Source: RNAcentral